RNAcentral lists this ribosomal RNA (468 nucleotides) under uncultured bacterium. RNAcentral describes it as "partial 16S ribosomal RNA". It matches the Rfam family "Bacterial small subunit ribosomal RNA", at positions 28 to 507 of the family's 1533-position model. The record is from RNAcentral.
GACGAACGCUGGCGGCGUGCUUAACACAUGCAAGUCGAACGGAAAGGCCCUGCUUUUGUGGGGUGCUCGAGUGGCGAACGGGUGAGUAAAACGUGUGUAAACUGCACUUGAAUUUGGGAUAACUUCAGGAAACUGGGGCUAAUACCGGAUAGGAGAUCCUGCUGCAUGGUGGGGGUUGGAAAGUUUCGGCGGUUGUGGAUGGACUCGCGGCUUAUCAGCUUGUUUGUGGGGUAGUGGAUUACCAAGGCUUUGACGGGUAGCCGGCCUGAGAGGGUGACCGGCCACCUUGGGACUGAGAGACGGCGCAGACUGCUAUGGUAGGCAGCAGGGGGGAACAUUGCACAACGGGCGGACGCCUGAUGCAGCAAUGCCGCGAGCGGGAUGCUCGCCUUUUAGUUGUAAACCGCUUUCGCCUGUGACGAAGCGUGAGUGACGGUAAUGGGUAAAGAAGCACCGGCUAACUACGUG